Molecule: ribosomal RNA, 492 nt
Filed under: uncultured bacterium
Lineage: Bacteria
Description: partial 16S ribosomal RNA
Rfam family: Bacterial small subunit ribosomal RNA
Source: RNAcentral
AGUGAACGCUGGCGGUAGGCCUAACACAUGCAAGUCGAACGGCAGCACAGUAAGAGCUUGCUCUUACGGGUGGCGAGUGGCGGACGGGUGAGGAAUACAUCGGAAUCUACUUUUUCGUGGGGGAUAACGUAGGGAAACUUACGCUAAUACCGCAUACGACCUACGGGUGGAAGCAGGGGAUCUUCGGACCUUGCGCGAUUGAAUGAGCCGAUGUCGGAUUAGCUAGUUGGCGGGGUAAAGGCCCACCAAGGCGACGAUCCGUAGCUGGUCUGAGAGGAUGAUCAGCCACACUGGAACUGAGACACGGUCCAGACUCCUACGGGAGGCAGCAGUAGGGAAUAUUGGACAAUGGGCGCAAGCCUGAUCCAGCCAUACCGCGUGGGUGAAGAAGGCCUUCGGGUUGUAAAGCCCUUUUGUUGGGAAAGAAAAGCAGCAGGUUAAUACCCCGCUGUUCUGACGGUACCCAAAGAAUAAGCACCGGCUAACUUCGUG